CCCUUAGAUGUCCUGGGCCGCACGCGCGCUACACUGAUGCAUGCAACGAGUAUAUAACCUUGGCCUGAAAGGCCUGGGUAAUCUUUUGAACGUGCAUCGUGAUAGGGAUAGAUUAUUGCAAUUAUUAAUCUUGAACGAGGAAUUCCUAGUAAACGCGAGUCAUCAGCUCGCAUUGAUUACGUCCCUGCCCUUUGUACACACCGCCCGUCGCUCCUACCGAUUGGGUGUGCUGGUGAAAUGUUCGGAUCGGCCGUUUGUCGCGGUUUCCGCGUCAUGUGGCUGAGAAGUUCAUUAAACCCUCCCACCUAGAGGAAGGAGAAGUCGUAACA
This 329-nucleotide ribosomal RNA is filed under the name uncultured eukaryote. RNAcentral describes it as "partial 18S ribosomal RNA". It matches the Rfam family "Eukaryotic small subunit ribosomal RNA", at positions 1470 to 1796 of the family's 1831-position model. The record is from RNAcentral.